GCCCGAGUGGUGAAAUCGGUAGACGCGGUGGAUUCAAAAUCCUCUUCCGAAAGGAGUGGCGGUUCAAGUCCGCCCUCGGGCA
Molecule: transfer RNA, 82 nt
Filed under: Moritella sp. PE36
Lineage: Bacteria; Pseudomonadati; Pseudomonadota; Gammaproteobacteria; Alteromonadales; Moritellaceae
Also listed under: 1 other name
Description: tRNA-Leu
Rfam family: tRNA
About the family: Transfer RNA (tRNA) molecules are approximately 80 nucleotides in length. Their secondary structure includes four short double-helical elements and three loops (D, anti-codon, and T loops).
Source: RNAcentral